This 253-nucleotide ribosomal RNA is filed under the name uncultured bacterium. RNAcentral describes it as "partial 16S ribosomal RNA". It matches the Rfam family "Bacterial small subunit ribosomal RNA", at positions 524 to 776 of the family's 1533-position model. The record is from RNAcentral.
UACGGAGGGUGCGAGCGUUAAUCGGAAUUACUGGGCGUAAAGCGCGCGUAGGUGGUCUGUUAAGUCUGAUGUGAAAGCCCUCGGCUCAACCGAGGAAGUGCAUUGGAAACCAACAAGCUUGAGUUCGAUAGGGGAUCGGGGAAUUCCUGGUGUAGCAGUGAAAUGCGUAGAUAUCAGGAGGAACACUGGUGGCGAAGGCGCCGAUCUGGGUCGAUACUGACGCUUAGGAGCGAAAGCGUGGGGAGCAAACAGG